UGCCUUGCAGUGGGCAAAGAGACACCUUGUUGGAGAUGUUCUUACACCAGUCAGGGGCAGAGCGGUUGGCAGUCCUUUGUUCAUCUUAGCUUGAUGCCUGACUUGGUGGCCAAAGCUGUCUUAUACCUAGGACUCAUUA
Small nucleolar RNA from Apodemus sylvaticus (European woodmouse), 139 nucleotides. RefSeq annotates it as small nucleolar RNA SNORA48. The transcript has a single exon. Lineage: Eukaryota; Metazoa; Chordata; Mammalia; Rodentia; Muridae. The record is from RefSeq and is a predicted model, not a curated record.